AUUAUUCGUUUUAAAUACGAAGGUUAUCUUACCCGUAGUAACUAAAUAGAUUAUGGCCAUUUUAGAAAUAUGUACCUACACGAAAAAGUGUGACGGACUUUGAUGACGCAAUCCUAAAGUAUGGCAAGAACAGUAGGUGGUAUGGCCUUAAUUAAUUAUGUGGUUUUUUAUGUGGUACGACAAAAUAUAUUCAUGAUGGACCUAUGUUAAUAAAAAAGUUAUAGGCAAAGGUAAGGGAGAAACGGCUUUAAUAAUAUUAUAUUACGGUCCUACGUGUGUUUUAUUAAAAAAAUUACUUAAUCGACGAAGACCAUUAAAAGACGUGGAAGAUAUUUUUUAUCUACUCGAUACGCUCACGCGAGCAAGAAAUGAUUGGUAUAUUUUGUACUUACUUACCUACUUAUAACUAGAUAUGUAAAAUGAAUGUCCACUUAUUAGAUAAACUCUAUACAUUGUAUUGAAUAAUAAAUUUUGGAAUCUAUUAGGUUGUAAGUAGGUAGUUAGUUAGGUAGGUACUUACUUAUUUAUUGCGCUUUGAAUUAAUUGACAGGGAAUACCUGUUCGCAUAAUAUGUACAUUCUGUUUUUCUUGCAAUAAAGGAAAUCAAACUUUCUCAUUCCCCAAUCCCCAUAGCUGAGUGCAGUAAUGUGCAGCAUCCGGAUUGAGCAGUGAAAAUCCGAAGUUCAAUGAUGAAGUCAAUGUUUGGUAAGUACCUACCUACAAUAUCAAUUCACCAUAAACAUUUCCUAAAUCCCCACAGCUUAGGAAUCCAGUUUCCAGCAAUAUCAUUGAGAAGUUGGGACGUGGAAAUCGUGGAAUUCAAUAAUGAAGUCUAUACUUGGCGUCUAUAUUAUUUCAUCAAUAGGGCUCAUCAGGGCUGAGGAGUUGGAACUUGGGAUUCAAUCAUGAAGUCGUUGUUUGGUACCUACAGUAUUAAUGCACCAUCAACAAUUUCUGAAUUUCCAUAACUUAUGCGGGCAGUAACUCUGCAGCAUCAGGAUUAAGGAGUUGGACCCAGAAAAAUUACGGGACCAUUUUGUGAACAUUCUCUAUUGAUUAAAAAACAAAUGCAAAUAGGAAAGGUCGAAGUAAUGGGUGUACAUAAAUAGAAAACGCAACAAAUUGAGGACCUUCUGCCUCCAUUCUGCAAUCACAAGCAAUCCUGUGAUUCUCAAAUGGCAAACAAGGAUUAAUACACAUAAUUUUAUUGAUCUAGGCUAUAAUGAUAGCAAAAAACGCCCAACAUCAUGGAGGAGUGGAGACCUUGGAUAAAUGUUUGCUGGUACCAAAGGACGCUGCACCGCGCCGGUGGAUUUCGUCAUUCAUAAUAAUCUAUACAUAUACCUAGUUACUUAGAGGUAUACCCUGUUGACGUCACAACUGUUGACCUCGAACUCUCCCCCAGUUAUCGAUCGAAUCCACCAUUUCAAAGGGGAGGCUUAGUCACCAACGAUAAUGCAAUGAAUCAUUAAUAUCGAUGGAUUACUUCAAAAUAGAAGUAACAUUGAUUACUUUAAUGCCACGUAAAAGGUACCUGAUUAAACAAUGUUAUCAGCAUUUUAUCGACUAGGAUCAUUUGCUACGUGAUGAAGUUAUUUGAAGUAUAAAUUAUGAAGCUGUUAAUUAAAAGUUUUGAUUGAUUGAUAUGUUCAAGCUAGCCUUACAUAGGUCUCUAGAUUAUUUGAACCAAUAUUUAGGUGAACAAAUGGAUUGUAACUCACAAUUAAAUGUUAAGAAUUCACAAAAGCGUAAACGAUCAGGAGUCAGGAAUGAAUAGCUAAUAGAGCCAUACCUAAUUCUAAGACAAGCUUUAAAUUGGAGAGGAAUGGGGAAUAUAAGUAGGUACCUAAUGCAUAACUUGGCUAGUAUUCCUAUUUAAAACAAAAUAUUUAUCACGGCAUUAAGUAAAUUGUGAUUGUUAGUUUUGCCUGACCAUGCUUUCAACCGGGACCACUAAUUGUGUACGGUUCCACGUGUUCUAAACACGAGGCCAUCACGGCAAUGUUGUAUCUAUCAUCAACAUCAACAUAACUAAAUAAAUUUACAUUCCAAUUUUACAGACCUAGAUAUGAAACUGUACGAAAGUACUAUACUUAACUACUUACGCAUAGGUACUACAAAAAUAUAAAACUAGUCCACCAAUUCAUACAUCAAUAACAUCAACUUUCAUAUUUUCUGAAAAUAUUCAAGGUCGCAAAUGACGUCCGAAGUCCGAACAAUCACUUCCCAGAAAUUAAGAGAUCAGGUUUUUUAGUCGAUGAAUACAGAAAUAUAAUUAAUGGAAACAAACUGAGUCUGAUAAAUGAAAUGGACAUUCUUAAUGAUAAUUUAAUUGCUAAUGCCAUUACUGUGAAAACACAAGUUAAUUAUAACAAUACAAAGUUAUUUGAUGUGGGUAAACUAGUUUCGGAAAGUUUUAAAUUAUUCUUUGGAAAUAUUCAAAUAGAAAUGAAUAUAACAUUGGAAUAUCAUGGGAAUAUCACUUAUUUGACAAACUGUAGGACAUUGAAAACCCAUCUAUUUCACCAUGUUUGAUUAAAAUUCUGGUACCAAUAAUAAUCUUUUACUAGAAUUAGCCAAGGUCACAACUAUCAACAUCCUUGGGUCAUCGAAGGACAUAUAAAUACGUUUAUAGAGCUCUCUACAUAUUCUACUGAUCCGCUAGAAAAUAGAAAAGAUACCUACCUUAUUUGAAUUGAAAACCCCAAAAUACUAGAAAACUUUCAUAUUUUUAAGUGAAAGUAGGUAGGAUAUUGUCUGUAACGUUUAUAAAGAUCUCGACAUACGAGGUUGUUUCAACAUCAACCUCGAAAUUAAUUCUUGCGCAAUCACAAUUUUUAUGAUAAGAAUUUAUGUUCCGAUCAAAGUUCAAGACAAAUUCAUUUAGAGGUUGAAUAUUUGGUGGUCAAAAAAGAGAUUUAAAUUGAUAAAAGUCUACACAAUUCUAGAAAACACUAAGUACAAAAUAUAUACAUAGGAUUGAGUACUUAGAAAGUUGGAACACGCAUUCAACACAACGUGAUCGCGGCAGGUUGAAACACGUUCACGUGUACUAUUUAUAAAGUAGCUGAACUUUUAGUAGCACUAUAAUUGCUUUCGAUAUCAUAAAACUUAAAUCUAACAACUGAAAUACAAACAAUUUGUAAAGUCGCAAGGUCGAUAGGAACUUAUAAGAAUAUUUAAUGAGCACAAAAUAAUUAGCCUAAGUAAAACUCACCUUACAAAAAGUAUCUUUUUGCGGGCUUGUAGCACGGGGGAAAUAAGUUACCCUUUAAAA
This is a long non-coding RNA of Maniola jurtina (meadow brown), 3277 nucleotides long. RefSeq lists it as uncharacterized. The transcript has 2 exons. The record is from RefSeq and is a predicted model, not a curated record. Lineage: Eukaryota; Metazoa; Arthropoda; Insecta; Lepidoptera; Nymphalidae.